CAGCAGCCACGGUAAUACGAAGGGUGCAAGCGUUAAUCGGAAUUACUGGGCGUAAAGCGUGCGUAGGCGGUGAGUUAAGUCUGCUGUGAAAUCCCCGGGCUCAACCUGGGAAUGGCAGUGGAUACUGGCUCGCUAGAGUGUGUCAGAGGAUGGUGGAAUUCCCGGUGUAGCGGUGAAAUGCGUAGAGAUCGGGAGGAACAUCAGUGGCGAAGGCGGCCAUCUGGGACAACACUGACGCUGAGGCACGAAAGCGUGGGGAGCAAACAGGAUUAGACCCCCGUAGUCCCUGUCUCUUAUACAC
Molecule: ribosomal RNA, 301 nt
Filed under: uncultured bacterium
Lineage: Bacteria
Description: partial 16S ribosomal RNA
Rfam family: Bacterial small subunit ribosomal RNA
Source: RNAcentral